UGUUGAAGCACCGAUUCGCGUACUAUUGCUGUAGUUAACCAACGUCGAGCCCGGUCAGUACUUAGAUGGGUGACCGCUUCGGAAUACUAGGUGAUGCAAG
Acanthosepion pharaonis is the source of this 100-nucleotide non-coding RNA. The record is from the annotation of a GenBank genome assembly. NCBI's taxonomy places the organism in Eukaryota, Metazoa, Mollusca, Cephalopoda, Sepiida, Sepiidae.